This is a long non-coding RNA of Photinus pyralis (common eastern firefly), 731 nucleotides long. RefSeq lists it as uncharacterized. The transcript is spliced from 3 exons. The record is from RefSeq and is a predicted model, not a curated record. NCBI's taxonomy places the organism in Eukaryota, Metazoa, Arthropoda, Insecta, Coleoptera, Lampyridae.
AAAUGUCAUGUGGAGACAGAAGGCAGUCUCCAGCAGGUGAUCAAUAUAUUAUUAUGAACUAUGUAUUUUUAAAUAACUUUAACGUUUAGAGCGAGAAUUACUCAAUCAUUUUCAAGGAAAAUAUCCUAAUGAUGAUGUGGUUAUUGUCGAGUGCGCUGGAGACGUACCUGAAACGAUCCGGUUGGGAGGAGGCUUCUUUAAAGGCCUCCUCUACGGCGUAUAUCGAGACCAACAAUUACCAAACAUGAUUUGGGUCACAUACAUUUAAAUAACUAUGCUAAAAUUUAAAUAAAGCAAUUUAAUGCUCAUUGUAUUGGUAAAAAAAACAUUGGAACCAACCGUGGCAGCGAAUUCAUAUUGAUGGACCUGCUCCUAUAAUGCCACACUGUAUGCAGUGUAUUCGAGGUGAAUAAAUUGCUUCAUGCUCUUCUAAUUUUAUUCGUUCCUAGAUCUAAAUACGCAUCAUGUUGAAAUAAACAAUUAACGCUAUUUGUAGAGUUAUUUUCCUCCUCCACCUCUUAUACAUUGUAAACCCCCGCAAGCAAACAAGUCAACCCCCCCCCUCACGUCACCAACCGACCCCUACGCACCGCCGAUCAGGUAGACAAACAGCAUUACGUCCUCAUAGCAUACAACCAUCCCAGAGGCGCCAUCUCUUAUACAUAUGUUACAAAAUGCACGCCAUCUUUAUGCUAUUUAUCUAACACACACCCACAUGAUACCAGCCCCGA